RNAcentral lists this ribosomal RNA (429 nucleotides) under Pseudomonadota bacterium. RNAcentral's name for it is "Proteobacteria bacterium partial 16S ribosomal RNA". It matches the Rfam family "Bacterial small subunit ribosomal RNA", at positions 355 to 776 of the family's 1533-position model. The record is from RNAcentral. Lineage: Bacteria; Pseudomonadati; Pseudomonadota.
UGGGGAAUAUUGGACAAUGGGCGAAAGCCUGAUCCAGCCAUGCCGCGUGUGUGAAGAAGGUCUUCGGAUUGUAAAGCACUUUAAGUUGGGAGGAAGGGCAGUAAGCGAAUACCUUGCUGUUUUGACGUUACCGACAGAAUACGCACCGGCUCACUCUGUGCCAGCAGCCGCGGUAAUACAGAGGGUGCAAGCGUUCAUCGGAAUUACUGGGCGUAAAGCGCGCGUAGGUGGUUCGUUAAGUUGAAUGUGAAAGCCCCGGGCUCAACCUGGGAACUGGAUCCAAAACUGGCGAGCUAGAGUAGGGCAGAGGGUGGUGGAAGUUCCUGUGUAGCGGUGAAAUGCGUAGAUAUAGGAAGGAACACCAGUGGCGAAGGCGACCACCUGGGCUCAUACUGACACUGAGGUGCGAAAGCGUGGGGAGCAAACAGG